UCCGGUUUAACACCGGCAGUCUCCUCAGAGUCCCCAACUUAAUGAUGGUAACUAAGGACAAGGGUUGCGCUCGUUAUCGGACUUAACCGGACAUCUUACGACACGAGCUGACGACAGCCAUGCAGCACCUAUCUCCACGUCCCCGAAAGGAACACUACAUCUCUGCAGCUGUCGUGGGAUGUUAAGGGUAGGUAAGGUUCUGCGCGUUGCUUCGAAUUAAACCACAUACUCCACCGCUUGUGCGGGCCCCCGUCAAUUCCUUUGAGUUUUAGCCUUGCGACCGUACUCCCCAGGCGGGAUACUUAAUGCGUUAGCUUUGGUACUCAGGAGGUUAACUUCCCGAACACCUAGUAUCCAUAGUUUACGGCGUGGACUAC
RNAcentral lists this unclassified non-coding RNA (377 nucleotides) under uncultured Oligoflexaceae bacterium. RNAcentral's name for it is "contains 16S-23S intergenic spacer region". Lineage: Bacteria; Pseudomonadati; Bdellovibrionota; Oligoflexia; Oligoflexales; Oligoflexaceae. The record is from RNAcentral.